UACGUAGGGUGCGAGCGUUAAUCGGAAUUACUGGGCGUAAAGCGUGCGCAGGCGGUUUUGUAAGCCAGAUGUGAAAUCCCCGGGCUUAACCUGGGAAUGGCAUUUGGGACUGCAAGGCUUGAGUGCGGCAGAGGAGACUGGAAUUUACGGUGUAGCGGUGAAAUGCGUAGAUAUCGUAAGGAAGACCAGUGGCGAAGGCGGGUCUCUGGACAGUUCCUGACGCUGAGGCACGAAGGUCAGGGGAGCAAACGGG
This 253-nucleotide ribosomal RNA is filed under the name uncultured bacterium. RNAcentral's name for it is "partial 16S ribosomal RNA". It matches the Rfam family "Bacterial small subunit ribosomal RNA", at positions 524 to 776 of the family's 1533-position model. The record is from RNAcentral.